GGGCAACCACACGGACCCAUUUCUUUUCCUUUUCGCCUCUCUACGCCGCUUCUCUCUCUCUCUCUCUCUUUCCUCUCUUUCUCUUCUCAGCUGCUCCGAUCAGACGCUGCUGCGCCGGUCGCUGCCAUCUCCGAAGAUGGUAAUCUUAUCUAUCAAUUGGGACAUUUGGUGGUUGUGACUUGUUAUUUGAUUUGUAAGUGAAAAGGUUGGGUUGCUAUUUCUUGAAAAAAAGGUUGGUUGCUAUUUUUUGACGAUCGGUUACCUCUCUCUUCAAAUUAGUUCAAAUUAGGCCAAACAAAGAUGGUGUGAGAGGAACAUGCGACCCUUCAGAUGAAAAAUAAAAUUUGAAAGAACUGGAGCUCCUGAUGCUCAUGAACUGGAGCAUGAGCUGGGCCGGAAGAAUUUGAAAGAAUUUUUCCUCUUAGAGCUUGUGCAUUACUCGCAUCAGAUUCCUCACUUAAGACCUGCCGAAUACAAGAGGUCUAGAUUACCUAGAAACAGGAAAGUCAACCGUGCUUAUGGUGGUAUGUUGUCAGGCAGUGAUAUACGUGAAAGGAUCAUAAGAGCUUUUUGGUUGAACAACAAAAGAUUACGAAGAAGGUUUUAAAGAUCCAGAAAGCCAAGGAAAACCAUGCAACCAAGAGCUAAGCUUUUAAUCCUUGAUGAUGGAUUGAGAGGAAUUUCUGAUACCGCAGGCUACUAAAAUACCCCUAGCUGAUGUUAGUUAAGCAACAACACUUGCAAAUUUGCUACUAUAAGCAUGUGAUCAACUGCUCUACCUUAAUGGCAGUCUAGUUAUACCUCUUCUACUGCUAUCUAUAAAAGCAACAUGCACUCGCUCCACUGCAAAA
This is a long non-coding RNA of Capsicum annuum, 851 nucleotides long. RefSeq lists it as uncharacterized. The record is from RefSeq and is a predicted model, not a curated record. The transcript is spliced from 5 exons. NCBI's taxonomy places the organism in Eukaryota, Viridiplantae, Streptophyta, Magnoliopsida, Solanales, Solanaceae.